RNAcentral lists this ribosomal RNA (303 nucleotides) under uncultured bacterium. Its description in RNAcentral is "partial 16S ribosomal RNA". It matches the Rfam family "Bacterial small subunit ribosomal RNA", at positions 507 to 808 of the family's 1533-position model. The record is from RNAcentral.
AGCAGUAGCCGCGGUAUCCGAAGGGUGCAAGCGUUACUCGGAAUUACUGGGCGUAAAGCGUGCGUAGGUGGUGGUUUAAGUCCGUUGUGAAAGCCCUGGGCUCAACCUGGGAAUUGCAGUGGAUACUGGGUCACUAGAGUGUGGUAGAGGAUAGUGGAAUUUCCGGUGUAGCAGUGAAAUGCGUAGAGAUCGGAAGGAACAUCUGUGGCGAAGGCGACUAUCUGGGCCAACACUGACACUGAGACACGAAAGCGUGGGGAACAAACAGGAUUAGAUACCCCAGUAGUCCCUGUCUCUUAUACA